UACAAAAUAAUUUAUAAUAAUAUUUACUUUGGAUGUAAAAAAUGUGCUGCUAUUACCC
Molecule: transfer RNA, 58 nt
Filed under: Hypochilus thorelli
Lineage: Eukaryota; Metazoa; Arthropoda; Arachnida; Araneae; Hypochilidae
Description: tRNA-Pro
Source: RNAcentral